GAGGCAGUCAUUGUAGGCUCAAGUCCUCUUUAUCUACAGGACUGUUACAGCAUAGGGAGUGGUGGCACAAGUUUCCACUGCACUGAUCUGUCAAGUUGUCUCAACCUCAACUCAGCAGGGUCACUUCUAGGAACAAGGAGAUAAUUCAGCCUCCGUGACCCUGUUCUGUUCUCAGCCUCU
This 180-nucleotide small RNA is filed under the name Crocodylus porosus (Australian saltwater crocodile). Its description in RNAcentral is "TUC338 (ENSCPRG00005011734.1)". The record is from RNAcentral. Lineage: Eukaryota; Metazoa; Chordata; Crocodylia; Crocodylidae.